GACGAACGCUGGCGGCGUGCUUAACACAUGCAAGUCGAACGGAAAGGCCCUGCUUUUGUGGGGUGCUCGAGUGGCGAACGGGUGAGUAACACGUGAGUAACCUGCCCUUGACUUUGGGAUAACUUCAGGAAACUGGGGCUAAUACCGGAUAGGAGCUCCUGCUGCAUGGUGGGGGUUGGAAAGUUUCGGCGGUUGGGGAUGGACUCGCGGCUUAUCAGCUUGUUGGUGGGGUAGUGGCUUACCAAGGCUUUGACGGGUAGCCGGCCUGAGAGGGUGACCGGCCACAUUGGGACUGAGAUACGGCCCAGACUCGUACGGGAGGCAGCAGUGGGGAAGAUUGCACAAUGGGCGGAAGCCUGAUGCAGCAACGCCGCGUGCGGGAUGACGGCCUUCGGGUUGUAAACCGCUUUCGCCUGUGACGAAGCGUGAGUGACGGUAAUGGGUAAAGAAGCACCGGCUAACUACGUG
RNAcentral lists this ribosomal RNA (468 nucleotides) under uncultured bacterium. RNAcentral describes it as "partial 16S ribosomal RNA". It matches the Rfam family "Bacterial small subunit ribosomal RNA", at positions 28 to 507 of the family's 1533-position model. The record is from RNAcentral.